RNAcentral lists this ribosomal RNA (703 nucleotides) under uncultured Glomeromycotina. Its description in RNAcentral is "SSU rRNA". It matches the Rfam family "Eukaryotic small subunit ribosomal RNA", at positions 373 to 1075 of the family's 1831-position model. Lineage: Eukaryota; Fungi; Glomeromycota. The record is from RNAcentral.
GGGUUCGAUUCCGGAGAGGGAGCCUGAGAAACGGCUACCACAUCCAAGGAAGGCAGCAGGCGCGCAAAUUACCCAAUCCCAAUACGGGGAGGUAGUGUCAAUAAAUAACAAUAUGGGGCUCUUACGGGUCUCGUAAUUGGAAUGAGUACAAUUUAAAUCUCUUAACGAGGAACAAUUGGAGGGCAAGUCUGGUGCCAGCAGCCGCGGUAAUUCCAGCUCCAAUAGCGUAUAUUAAAGUUGUUGCAGUUAAAAAGCUCGUAGUUGAAUUUCGGAGUUUGUCGGUUGGUCGGGCUUCACUGUCCGCACUGGCCUGAUGGAUUCCUACCUUCUGAAUAACCAGCAUGCUAUUAAGUUAGUGCGUUGGGGAAGCAGAGCUAUUACCUUGAAAAAAUUAGAGUGCUUAAAGCAGGCUUUUGCUUGAAUAGAUUAGCAUGGAAUAAUAAAAUAGGACGGCAUGGUUCUAUUUUGUUGGUUUCUAGGAUCACCGUAAUGAUUAAUAGGGAUAGUUGGGGGCAUUAGUAUUCAAUUGUCAGAGGUGAAAUUCUUGGAUUUAUUGAAGACUAACUUCUGCGAAAGCAUUUGCCAAGGAUGUUUUCAUUAAUCAAGAACGAAAGUUAGGGGAUCGAAGACGAUCAGAUACCGUCGUAGUCUUAACCAUAAACUAUGCCGACUAGGGAUCGGACGAUGUUAAUUUUUUAAUGAC